UACGAGGGGUGCAAGCGUUGCUCGGAAUUAUUGGGCGUAAAGGGUAGGUAGGUGGUCUCAUUUGUCUGGGGUGAAAUCCUUGGGCUUAACCUAAGAAGUGCCUCAGAAACGGUGAGACUAGAGUACUGGAGAGGGUCGUGGAAUUCCCGGUGUAGCGGUGAAAUGCGUAGAGAUCGGGAGGAACACCAGAGGCGAAGGCGGCGACCUGGACAGUAACUGACACUCAACUACGAAAGCGUGGGGAGCAAAC
This 250-nucleotide ribosomal RNA is filed under the name uncultured bacterium. RNAcentral's name for it is "partial 16S ribosomal RNA". It matches the Rfam family "Bacterial small subunit ribosomal RNA", at positions 524 to 773 of the family's 1533-position model. The record is from RNAcentral.